This 497-nucleotide ribosomal RNA is filed under the name uncultured bacterium. Its description in RNAcentral is "partial 16S ribosomal RNA". It matches the Rfam family "Bacterial small subunit ribosomal RNA", at positions 28 to 507 of the family's 1533-position model. The record is from RNAcentral.
GAUGAACGCUGGCGGCGUGCCUAAUACAUGCAAGUCGAGCGAACAGACGAGGAGCUUGCUCCUUUGACGUUAGCGGCGGACGGGUGAGUAACACGUGGGUAACCUACCUAUAAGACUGGGAUAACUUCGGGAAACCGGAGCUAAUACCGGAUAAUAUUUCGAACCGCAUGGUUCGAUAGUGAAAGAUGGCUUUGCUAUCACUUAUAGAUGGACCUGCGCCGUAUUAGCUAGUUGGUAAGGUAACGGCUUACCAAGGCAACGAUACGUAGCCGACCUGAGAGAGUGAUCGGCCACACUGGAACUGAGACACGGUCAAGACUCCUACGGGAGGCAGCAGUAGGGAAUCUGACGCAAUGGGCGAAAGCCUGACGGAGCAACGCCGCGUGAGUGAUGAAGGUCUUCGGAUCGUAAAACUCUGUUAUUAGGGAAGAACAAACGUGUAAGUAACUGUGCACGGCUUGACGGUACCUAAUCAGAAAGCCACGGCUAACUACGUG